UGCACAUACGGGAGGCAGCAGUGGGGAAUAUUGGGCAAUGGGCGCAAGCCUGACCCAGCAACGCCGCGUGAAGGAAGAAGGCUUUCGGGUUGUAAACUUCUUUUGUCAGGGACGAAGCAAGUGACGGUACCUGACGAAUAAGCCACGGCUAACUACGUGCCAGCAGCCGCGGUAAUACGUAGGUGGCAAGCGUUAUCCGGAUUUAUUGGGUGUAAAGGGCGUGUAGGCGGGAAUGCAAGUCAGGUGUGAAAAGUAUGGGGUCAACCCAGAGCCU
RNAcentral lists this ribosomal RNA (274 nucleotides) under uncultured bacterium. Its description in RNAcentral is "partial 16S ribosomal RNA". It matches the Rfam family "Bacterial small subunit ribosomal RNA", at positions 334 to 622 of the family's 1533-position model. The record is from RNAcentral.